UACGGGGGGAGCAAGCGUUGUUCGGAUUUACUGGGCGUAAAGGGCGCGUAGGCGGUCGUGACAAGUCACUUGUGAAAUCUCCGGGCUUAACUCGGAACGGUCAAGUGAUACUGUCGGACUAGAGUACAGAAGGGGCAACUGGAAUUCUCGGUGUAGCGGUGAAAUGCGUAGAUAUCUGGAGGAAUACCGGUGGCGAAGGCGGCAUCCUGGACCGGCAUUGACGCUGAGGAGCGAAAGCCAGGGGAGCAAACGGG
RNAcentral lists this ribosomal RNA (254 nucleotides) under uncultured bacterium. Its description in RNAcentral is "partial 16S ribosomal RNA". It matches the Rfam family "Bacterial small subunit ribosomal RNA", at positions 524 to 776 of the family's 1533-position model. The record is from RNAcentral.